Molecule: signal recognition particle RNA, 97 nt
Filed under: Cellvibrionales bacterium
Lineage: Bacteria; Pseudomonadati; Pseudomonadota; Gammaproteobacteria; Cellvibrionales
Description: signal recognition particle sRNA small type
Rfam family: Bacterial small signal recognition particle RNA
About the family: The signal recognition particle (SRP) is a universally conserved ribonucleoprotein involved in the co-translational targeting of proteins to membranes. Archaeal SRP consists of a 7S RNA and homologues of the eukaryotic SRP19 and SRP54 proteins.
Source: RNAcentral
CAUCGGUGCUCCGCAAUCUGACGCUGCCAACCCCGCCAGGCCCGGAAGGGAGCAACGGUAACAGUGCCCCAGAGGUGCCGGAGGUCUGCUGGUGGGU